Perognathus longimembris pacificus (Pacific pocket mouse) is the source of this 180-nucleotide long non-coding RNA. RefSeq lists it as uncharacterized. The transcript is spliced from 3 exons. The record is from RefSeq and is a predicted model, not a curated record. NCBI's taxonomy places the organism in Eukaryota, Metazoa, Chordata, Mammalia, Rodentia, Heteromyidae.
GCAGCAGUCCUGGGACAGAAACAGCCCCUCUGAUUCAAUAAGGCAAAAAGAAAAAUGUCUGGCCACUUCUCUAACUUCAACCUUGUACUCUAAAGACAGAUAAACUUAAGUUUUCAGACAUAAUUGCCUUUCAAUUUGACAGUGUAAUGCCUGGCCAAAAUGUGAAAUGACUGGCCAAAA